AGUGAGAAUGCCGGAAUGAGUAGCGAGAAUUAUGUGGGAAUCAUAAUGGCCGAAAAUCUAAGGUUUCUUGGGGAAGGUUCGUCCGCCCAAGGUAAGCCGGGAGCUAAGGCGAGGCCGAAAGGCGUAGUCGAUGCACAUACGGUUGAAAUUCCGUAGCCGCCGAAAUAGUUAAGCACAGGGACACAUAGAGAUAUCCGAACCCGGGCGUUGGUUGACCCGGGCGCAAGGGACCGAACAUCAGUAGGGAAGUCGGAGAUGCUCUGUGGCGAGAAAAGCUGUGUGUAUUGAUUAGGCGCCCGUACCGCAAACCGACACAGGUAGAUGAGGAGAGAAUCCUAAGGCCAACGGGAGAAGGGUUGUUAAGGAACUCGGCAAAUUGACCCCGUAACUUCGGGAUAAGGGGAGCCUCCUACGGGAGGCCGCAGUGAAUAGGCCCAAGCAACUGUUUACCAAAAACACAGGUCUCUGCUAAAUCGAAAGAUGAUGUAUAGGGGCUGACGCCUGCCCGGUGCCGGAAGGUUAAGAGGAGAGCUUAGCGCAAGCGAAGGUUCGAAUUGAAGCCCCGGUAAACGGCGGCCGUAACAAUAACGGUCCUAAGGUAGCGAAAUUCCUUGUCAGGUAAGUUCUGACCCGCACGAAUGGCGUAAUGAUUUGGGCACUGUCUCAACAGCCCGCCCGGCGAAAUUGUAGUACUGGUGAAGAUGCCAGUUACCCGCAACUAGACGGAAAGACCCCAUGGAGCUUUACUGUAGCCUAAUACUGAAGAUCGGUAAUGCAUGUACAGGAUAGGUGGGAGCCAGCGAAACCCGGGCGUCAGCUCGGAUGGAGGCAACCUUGGAAUACCACCCUUGUAUUGCUGGUUUUCUAACCUGCGGCCAUGAAUCUGGUCGGGGGACACUGUUAGGUGGGCAGUUUGACUGGGGCGGUCGCCUCCAAAAGCGUAACGGAGGCGGUCAAAGGUUGGCUCAGCACGGACGGAAAUCGUGCAUAGAGUGCAAACGCAUAAGCCAACUUGACUGCGAGACCGACGGGUCGAGCAGGUACGAAAGUAGGAGUUAGUGAUCCGGUGGUAUGUGAGUGGAAAUGCCAUCGCUCAACGGGUAAAAGCUACCCUGGGGAUAACAGGCUGAUCUCCCCCAAGCGUCCACAGCGACGGGGAGGUUUGGCACCUCGAUGUCGGCUCGUCACAUCCUGGGGCUGUAUUCGGUCCCAAGGGUUCGGCUGUUCGCCGAUUAAAGUGGCACGCGAGCUGGGUUCAGAACGUCGUGAGACAGUUCGGUCCCUAUCUGUUGCGGGCGCAGGAGAUUUGAAGGGAGCUGUCCUUAGUACGAGAGGACCGGGAUGGACAGACCUCUGGUGCACCAGUUGUCGUGCCAACGGCACAGCUGGGUAGCUACGUCUGGACGAGAUAAACGCUGAAAGCAUCUAAGUGUGAAACUCCCCCUAAGAUAAGAUCUCCCAUCCAUUAGGAGUAAGGGACGACAGAGACUAUGUCGUUGAUAGGUCGGAAGUGUAAGUGCAGUAAUGCAUUGAGCUGACCGAUACUAAUAACCCGAGGGCUUGACUG
Molecule: ribosomal RNA, 1567 nt
Filed under: metagenome
Description: bacterial LSU rRNA
Rfam family: Bacterial large subunit ribosomal RNA
Source: RNAcentral